RNAcentral lists this ribosomal RNA (483 nucleotides) under uncultured bacterium. Its description in RNAcentral is "bacterial SSU rRNA". It matches the Rfam family "Bacterial small subunit ribosomal RNA", at positions 29 to 507 of the family's 1533-position model. The record is from RNAcentral.
AACGAACGCUGGCGGCGUGGAUUAGGCAUGCAAGUCGAACGAGAAAGAGACCUUCGGGUCUUGAGUACAGUGGCGAACUGGUGAGUAUAAGGUGGGCAACGUGCCCGCGAGUUGGGGAUAACCUCCAGAAAUGGGGAUUAAUACCGAAUGUGGCCAUGACCUCGCAUGGGGACAUGACUAAAGAUUUAUCGCUCGCGGAUCGGCCCGCCCCGGAUUAGCUUGUUGGUGAGGUAACGGCUCACCAAGGCUACGAUCCGUAGGUGGCCUGAGAGGGUGGUCACCCACACUGGGACUGAGAUACGGCCCAGACUCCUACGGGAGGCAGCAGUCUAGAGGCUUCGGCAAUGGGGGAAACCCUGACCGAGCGACGCCGCGUGUGGGACGAAGGUCUUACGAUUGUAAACCACUGUCAGUGGGGAAGAAUGCCUGUAUGGACAAUACGGGAGUGACGGUACCCACGGAGGAAGCCCCGGUAACUACGUG